GACGAACGCUGGCGGCGUGCUUAACACAUGCAAGUCGAACGGAAAGGCCCUGCUUUUGUGGGGUGCUCGAGUGGCGAACGGGUGAGUAACACGUGAGUAACCUGCCCUUGUCUUUGGGAUAACUUCAGGAAACUGGGGCUAAUACCGGAUAGGAGCUCCUGCUGCAUGGUGGGGGUUGGAAAGUUUCGGCGGUUGGGGAUGGACUCGCGGCUUAUCAGCUUGUUGGUGGGGUAGUGGCUUACCAAGGCUUUGACGGGUAGCCGGCCUGAGAGGGUGACCGGCCACAUUGGGACUGAGAUACGGCCCAGACUCCUACGGGUGGCAGCAGUGGGGAAUAUUGCACAAUGGGCGGAAGCCUGAUGCAGCAACGCCGCGUGCGGGAUGACGGCCUUCGGGUUGUAAACCGCUUUCGCCUGUGACGAAGCGUGAGUGACGGUAAUGGGUAAAGAAGCACCGGCUAACUACGUG
Molecule: ribosomal RNA, 468 nt
Filed under: uncultured bacterium
Lineage: Bacteria
Description: partial 16S ribosomal RNA
Rfam family: Bacterial small subunit ribosomal RNA
Source: RNAcentral